GGAAGCGUGGCAGAGCGGCCGAAUGCACUCGCCUUGAAAGCGAGCGUCCGAAAGGACCGGGGGUUCGAAUCCCCCCGCUUCCG
RNAcentral lists this transfer RNA (83 nucleotides) under Pseudonocardia autotrophica. It matches the Rfam family "tRNA". Rfam says of the family: Transfer RNA (tRNA) molecules are approximately 80 nucleotides in length. Their secondary structure includes four short double-helical elements and three loops (D, anti-codon, and T loops). Lineage: Bacteria; Bacillati; Actinomycetota; Actinomycetes; Pseudonocardiales; Pseudonocardiaceae. The record is from Rfam by way of RNAcentral.